AUACUUAAGUAGUAAUAGUUAUGAUCUUGAAACUUAAAGAAUUUGGCGGUAUUUUAAUCUUUUCAGAGGAACCUGUUCUAUAAUCGAUAAUCCUCGUUUAAUUUUACUAAAUAAUUUGUAUAUCGUUGUCGAAAGAAUAAAUUUUCUAUAAUUUAUAUUUAAAUGUAUGUCAAAUCAAGGUGCAGUUAAUAAUUUAGAAGAAAUGGGUUACAAUAAAUUUAUUUAGGAUUGGCUUAAAGGUGGAUUUGAAAGUAAAUUUAUUUUAAUAAAUUAAGUUGAUAAUAGUUCUAAAAUAUGU
This 298-nucleotide ribosomal RNA is filed under the name Stephanocircus dasyuri. Its description in RNAcentral is "partial 12S ribosomal RNA". Lineage: Eukaryota; Metazoa; Arthropoda; Insecta; Siphonaptera; Stephanocircidae. The record is from RNAcentral.